RNAcentral lists this ribosomal RNA (324 nucleotides) under uncultured eukaryote. RNAcentral's name for it is "partial 18S ribosomal RNA". It matches the Rfam family "Eukaryotic small subunit ribosomal RNA", at positions 1470 to 1796 of the family's 1831-position model. The record is from RNAcentral.
CCCUUAGAUGUUCUGGGCCGCACGCGCGCUACACUGAUGCAUUCAACGAGUUUCUUCCUGGUCCGAGAGGAAUGGGUAACCUUUUGAAAGUGCAUCGUGAUAGGGAUAGACUAUUGCAAUUAUUGGUCUUCAACGAGGAAUUCCUAGUAGACGUAGUUCAUCAGACUGCAUCGAUUACGUCCCUGCCCUUUGUACACACCGCCCGUCGCUCCUACCGAUUGAAUGCUCAGGUGAGCCAUUCGGACUUUCAUCAUGCUGGUUUCCAGUUUUGAUGAAGGAAAGUCUUGCGAACCGUAUCAUUUAGAGGAAGGAGAAGUCGUAACA